Molecule: long non-coding RNA, 207 nt
Filed under: Lathyrus oleraceus (garden pea)
Lineage: Eukaryota; Viridiplantae; Streptophyta; Magnoliopsida; Fabales; Fabaceae
Description: Pisum sativum (pea) long non-coding RNA (PSAT_LNC034560)
Source: RNAcentral
AGCAAUCAAACAAGUCAAUUAGCACACACUAUACACAAUCAAUUAGGCUCAAUCAAGGUUAGGCUUUACAACCAACUGGAAUGGGGUAAUUGUGCUCUUAACCCUAACAUUGAGAGUUAGGGUGAAGCAGAUGAAAUGGAGAUGAGGGGUGUGCCUCAUAGCUCUUAUCCCUGGCCAGGGAGAGCUUUAAACAAUAGAAAGUGUGGG